Molecule: ribosomal RNA, 266 nt
Filed under: uncultured Planctomycetota bacterium
Lineage: Bacteria; Pseudomonadati; Planctomycetota
Description: uncultured planctomycete partial 16S ribosomal RNA
Rfam family: Bacterial small subunit ribosomal RNA
Source: RNAcentral
GAGCACGUAGGUGGGUUUGUAAGUCAGAUGUGAAAGCCUUCUGUUCAACGGAAGAAUUGCAUCUGAAACUGCAAAUCUUGAGUAUAGGAGGGGAGAAUGGAACUUCUGGUGGAGCGGUGAAAUGCGUAGAUAUCAGAAGGAACGCCGGCGGCGAAAGCGAUUCUCUGGCCUAUUACUGACACUGAGUGUGCGAAAGCUAGGGGAGCAAACGGGAUUAGAUACCCCGGUAGUCCUAGCCGUAAACGAUGGGCACUAAGUAGAGGGGU